RNAcentral lists this microRNA (22 nucleotides) under Shrimp white spot syndrome virus. RNAcentral's name for it is "wssv-mir83". The record is from RNAcentral. Lineage: Naldaviricetes; Nimaviridae.
GGCUGGGUCCGCUCUUCUGUUC